Molecule: non-coding RNA, 94 nt
Organism: Mycena epipterygia
Lineage: Eukaryota; Fungi; Basidiomycota; Agaricomycetes; Agaricales; Mycenaceae
Source: the annotation of a GenBank genome assembly
AGCCUAGUGGUGUAUGGUGCACGCCUGCCAUUCUUUCAUUGCCAAAAUUGCCAUUACUACGCAGGAGGACCCGGUUCGAUUCUGGGCUAGGCCA